RNAcentral lists this ribosomal RNA (442 nucleotides) under uncultured bacterium. RNAcentral describes it as "partial 16S ribosomal RNA". It matches the Rfam family "Bacterial small subunit ribosomal RNA", at positions 338 to 795 of the family's 1533-position model. The record is from RNAcentral.
CCUACGGGUGGCAGCAGUAGGGAAUCUUUCACAAUGGGCGAAAGCCUGAAGGAGCAACGCCGCGUGCAGGAUGAAGGCCUUAGGGUUGUAAACUGCUUUUAUAAGCGAGAAAUAUGAUGGUAACUUAUGAAUAAGGAUCGGCUAACUACGUGCCAGCAGCCGCGGUCAUACGUAGGAUCCGAGCAUUAUCCGGAGUGACUGGGUGUAAAGAGUUGCGUAGGGGGCAUAAUAAGUAGCUAGUGAAAUCUGGUGGCUCAACCAUUCAGACUAUUAGCUAAACUGUUAAGCUCGAGACCGUUAGGGGUAGCUGGAAUUUGUAGUGUAGGAGUGAAAUCCGUAGAUAUUAGAAGGAACACCAAUAGCGUAGGCAGGUUGCUGGGACGGUUCUGACACUAAGGCACGAAAGCGUAGGGAGCAAACGGGAUUAGAUACCCCUGUAGUC